RNAcentral lists this ribosomal RNA (1345 nucleotides) under uncultured bacterium. Its description in RNAcentral is "bacterial SSU rRNA". It matches the Rfam family "Bacterial small subunit ribosomal RNA", at positions 28 to 1381 of the family's 1533-position model. The record is from RNAcentral.
GAUGAACGCUAGCGGGAGGCCUAACACAUGCAAGCCGAGCGGUAUUGUUUCUUCGGAAAUGAGAGAGCGGCGUACGGGUGCGGAACACGUGUGCAACCUGCCUUUAUCUGGGGGAUAGCCUUUCGAAAGGAAGAUUAAUACUCCAUAACAUAUUGAUUGGCAUCAAUUAAUAUUGAAAGCUCCGGCGGAUAGAGAUGGGCACGCGCAAGAUUAGCUAGUUGGUGAGGUAACGGCUCACCAAGGCGAUGAUCUUUAGGGGGCCUGAGAGGGUGAUCCCCCACACUGGUACUGAGACACGGACCAGACUCCUACGGGAGGCAGCAGUGAGGAAUAUUGGUCAAUGGGUGCAAGCCUGAACCAGCCAUCCCGCGUGAAGGACGACUGCCCUAUGGGUUGUAAACUUCUUUUGUAUAGGGAUAAACCUACCCUCGUGAGGGUAGCUGAAGGUACUAUACGAAUAAGCACCGGCUAACUCCGUGCCAGCAGCCGCGGCAAUACGGAGGGUGCAAGCGUUAUCCGGAUUUAUUGGGUUUAAAGGGUCCGUAGGCGGACUUAUAAGUCAGUGGUGAAAGCCUGUCGCUUAACGAUAGAACUGCCAUUGAUACUGUAAGUCUUGAGUAUAUUUGAGGUAGCUGGAAUAAGUAGUGUAGCGGUGAAAUGCAUAGAUAUUACUUAGAACACCAAUUGCGAAGGCAGGUUACCAAGAUAUAACUGACGCUGAGGGACGAAAGCGUGGGGAGCGAACAGGAUUAGAUACCCUGGUAGUCCACGCCGUAAACGAUGCUAACUCGUUUUUGGGCUUUAGGGUUCAGAGACCAAGCGAAAGUGAUAAGUUAGCCACCUGGGGAGUACGCUCGCAAGAGUGAAACUCAAAGGAAUUGACGGGGGCCCGCACAAGCGGUGGAUUAUGUGGUUUAAUUCGAUGAUACGCGAGGAACCUUACCAAGACUUAAAUGGGAAUUGACAGCUUUAGAAAUAGAGCCUUCUUCGGACAAUUUUCAAGGUGCUGCAUGGUUGUCGUCAGCUCGUGCCGUGAGGUGUUAGGUUAAGUCCUGCAACGAGCGCAACCCCUGUCACUAGUUGCCAUCAUUCAGUUGGGGACUCUAGUGAGACUGCCUACGCAAGUAGAGAGGAAGGUGGGGAUGACGUCAAAUCAUCACGGCCCUUACGUCUUGGGCCACACACGUAAUACAAUGGCCGGUACAGAGGGCAGCUACACAGCGAUGUGAUGCAAAUCUCGAAAGCCGGUCUCAGUUCGGAUUGGAGUCUGCAACUCGACUCUAUGAAGCUGGAAUCGCUAGUAAUCGCGCAUCAGCCAUGGCGCGGUGAAUACGUUCCCGGGCCU